AUAAAUGGAGGAAUCUACUGAAAGCUAGCCUUGCACAGAUAUCUUCAAAUAAAGGGAUAAAUUCCCGAAAAAAUGUCACUUCAAUGCGGAUUCCUGAACCCAUUUUAUUGAGAGUUAGAGGGCUUUGCUGAGAUGCAGUCACAGGUUCCACCAAAUCUAAGCUCAAGCAAGGUGGCUGGAAAUAGUGUACAUGAAAAACAAUCAGGGUGCUUAUAACAUUGUAACUUGUAGAUUUUAGUUGUAUAAAUUGCAAAUAAACGCACAUCAGUUUGUCCACAUUUUGAUGAUUGUUCUUUUGCUGCUGCCUCUUACGGUGGCUGGGGG
This 324-nucleotide unclassified non-coding RNA is filed under the name Hevea brasiliensis (rubber tree). Lineage: Eukaryota; Viridiplantae; Streptophyta; Magnoliopsida; Malpighiales; Euphorbiaceae. The record is from RNAcentral.